GUCUACGGCCAUGCCACCCUGAACAAGACCAGUCUUGUCUGAUCUCGGAAGCUAAGCAGGGUCGGACCUGGUUAGUACUUGGAUGGGAGACCACCUAGGAAGACCAGGUGCUAUAGACU
Pteropus vampyrus (large flying fox) is the source of this 119-nucleotide ribosomal RNA. NCBI's taxonomy places the organism in Eukaryota, Metazoa, Chordata, Mammalia, Chiroptera, Pteropodidae. The record is from Ensembl.